RNAcentral lists this long non-coding RNA (809 nucleotides) under Phoenix dactylifera (date palm). RNAcentral describes it as "long non-coding RNA (PDAC_LNC017185)". Lineage: Eukaryota; Viridiplantae; Streptophyta; Magnoliopsida; Arecales; Arecaceae. The record is from RNAcentral.
CUUAGAAAGCUUAAGAUCGUCCUAGAACACGAGAGGACCAUGUAUAUAAUUACUGAUCCGGCAGAUCGUCCUGGAACAUGAGAGGACCAUGUAUAUAAUUACUGAUCCAGCACCUGAAUUGCCUCCUGCUAAUGCACGGGUAGCAGUCCGUGACGCUUACCAGAAAUGGACGAGUGAUCGAAUCACUGUCUGGUGCAUUAUGCUAGCGGCAAUGAGCGACGAAUUCUCGCGGAGAUUCGAGAGUGCUCAGUCGAACGAGAUCAUUCAAGUGUUGAAUGAAUCGUUUGGCGUCCCUGAUGACGAUAAAAGGUAUAGUACCAGUUGUUGUAUCUUCAACGCCAAACUCAGGGAAGGGGCCUCUGUUACGGACCAUGUACUGUACAUGAUCGAGUUGAUAGAGCGCCUGAGCAAACUCGGCUUUUCCCUGCAUGAACAAUUGGGAAAGGACGCGAUUUUGAAUUCCCUGCCUGAUUCCUACCGACCAUUCCUCACUCAUUAUAGAAUGACAAAGCAUGUACUCAACUUCCAUGGUCUUUUGGGGUUGUUGCAGAACUUUGAGAAAGAUAACCAGCUCAGAAAAAGGCCGGUUAAUGUGGUUGGUGGUGGGGCAGGACGUCGUCCCUUUGGGAAAGGAAAAAACAAAAAUAAAAUUAAAAAUAAAAAUAAAAGGAAGAAAAAGGUGCUAAGUGUCGGGAUAUCUUAUCAGAUGAUAAGAAAGCGGGCUGACCCUAGAAAGGCGGUGUGCUACCACUGUCAGAAAUCGGGACACUGGAAAAAGAACUGUCCUCUGUAUGUAGCCAUCCUUGAUC